GAUUUAGGGAACUGUGUGGAGGUCCAGGCCCCUUUGCCAUGGCACUCAAAUGUCUCCCCUCCCCCUCCCAGCUGAUGCAGCACAAGCAGGUCCUGUCUUUCCUUCUUGGGUGAGCUUGUGUAGUUCCAUGGUGUCAUUCCCUCCAGAAGUAACACAUUUUGAGGUGGAGAAACUGAGACCCAGACGGCCUAACCAACUUUCCCUGAAAGCAGAGUUGCAACUGGAGCUAAGAUAGUUCAGCUCAGUGUAUUCUGCAGAAAGACUUCUGUGCAUCUUCUCUCACAGGCUGUGGACAUAGGUAUAAGAUCUGACCUGUGUCCAGCAUCAGCCGAGGUCUAGACAAAAGUCCACUGUAAAGUAAAACUCAAGAACAUGCACUCCCUUGAGAGUGAAAUAAAACAACUCACCUCUAGCUUUAUGAUUU
Molecule: long non-coding RNA, 424 nt
Organism: Phyllostomus discolor (pale spear-nosed bat)
Lineage: Eukaryota; Metazoa; Chordata; Mammalia; Chiroptera; Phyllostomidae
Exons: 2
Source: RefSeq, a predicted model, not a curated record